GGCUCAGAUUGAACGCUGGCGGCAUGCUUUACACAUGCAAGUCGAACGGUAACAGGUCUUCAGAUGCUGACGAGUGGCGAACGGGUGAGUAAUGUAUCGGAACGUGCCCAGUAGUGGGGGAUAACUACUCGAAAGAGUGGCUAAUACCGCAUGAGACCUGAGGGUGAAAGCGGGGGAUCGCAAGACCUCGCGCUAUUGGAGCGGCCGAUAUCAGAUUAGGUAGUUGGUGGGGUAAAAAGCCUACCAAGCCGACGAUCUGUAGCUGGUCUGAGAGGACGACCAGCCACACUGGGACUGAGACACGGCCCAGACUCCUACGGGAGGCAGCAGUGGGGAAUUUUGGACAAUGGGCGCAAGCCUGAUCCAGCCAUGCCGCGUGCGGGAAGAAGGCCUUCGGGUUGUAAACCGCUUUUGUCAGGGAAGAAAUCUUCUGGGCUAAUACCUCGGGAGGAUGACGGUACCUGAAGAAUAAGCACCGGCUAACUACGUG
Molecule: ribosomal RNA, 490 nt
Filed under: uncultured bacterium
Lineage: Bacteria
Description: bacterial SSU rRNA
Rfam family: Bacterial small subunit ribosomal RNA
Source: RNAcentral